Long non-coding RNA from Piliocolobus tephrosceles (Ugandan red Colobus), 1901 nucleotides. NCBI's taxonomy places the organism in Eukaryota, Metazoa, Chordata, Mammalia, Primates, Cercopithecidae. The record is from Ensembl.
UUUUUUUUUGUAUCAAACGUUAUAUUACUAGAACGUUGCAUUUUUUGACACUAUUGUUUUUUUUUAUAUUUAUAAAAACUGUGUUUUUUUUUUUUUUUUUUUUUUUUUUAUUUUUUAAAGUGAUGUUGAAAAUAUUCAAGCAAAAAAAAAAAAAAAAAAUUGUCUUUAUAUUUGUAAUAAGAAUCUGAUGUUUAUAAAAAAUAGACGAUAGCAUAAUGUCUUACAUAAUAAACAUGUGUGUGAAUAUAGACAUAUAUAUACAUAUAACAUAGUUAAUGAUUGUUUUGUAGCUAUAUUUAUUAAAAACAAAUAAAAUACUAAUAAAUAUGUAUGUAUAACGAAAAAAAAUUUAAAGAAUAAAAUAUAUAAAAAAAAUUAGUAUAAAAAAGAAAAAAAAAAUAUAUGUGUACUUACAUAAAAGAAAACAAGAAAUAUAUGGAUUAUUCGAAAAUUUACAAUUACUACUAUAAAUUAAUUUAUCUGAUUCUAAAAAAUAAAAAAAAAAAAAUAGACAUAAUAAGUUUGUGUUUUUUUUUUCUUUAUAACGUUAAAGAUUGUUACUACAUGCGUAAUGUGUGUUUUUUUUUUUUAGUUGAAAAUAAUUCAAUUAUAACAGAUUAUUAUUUUUUUUUAAGUUUAUGUUAAUACAGUAAAUUUUUAAUUAACACUUUUUUUUUUUUAUCUUUUUUUUUUUUUUUUGUUUGUUUGUUUGUUAAUAUGCUCAAUUGGUAGGAUAUAUACGAUUAUAUAUGUAUCAAAAAACUUAAUUAUUUUUAAUUUUUUUUCAUCGCUAAUUUUGUGGUGCUAACAAGUUUACUGCAAACUGAGGUGUUCACAUAUAAUAAAUUAUAUAGGUGCAUAAACCCUAACAUAAAUACAUAAACAUAUACACAUAAACCUUUAGUGUACUCGUGUAUUUUUACAUUAUCUAAUUAAAUAUAAUAAUAUAUAUAUAUAUAUAUAUAUAUAAUAAGCAAAUUAAAAAAAAAUGAAAUUGGGAUAUAUUGCACUUGUGUCUAUGAUUUUAUUUGUUCAUGAAACAUUGGGAGUACAAAUAAGUUUAAAAAGGAAAUAUCCAAAUGUUAAAAGUGGUGUAUAUCAAAUAGAUAACAAAGGCAGACCCAUAAAAAUUGUGGAUGUAAAUUAUAAUCAUAUAUGGGAGCUUCCAGAACAUGGUGAUGUGAAUUCUUAUAGCAUUGUUAAAAAAAAUGGAAAAGUAAAAAAAUUUAGCGAAGGAACAAAUAUUAAAUAUGGAACAACUAAAAGAUUGCAGUUAGAAAAUGUUGAAGAAGAAGAAGAAGAAGAUAAAAAUGAAAUAAUAAAAAAUAUUAAAAAAAAUAAAGCAAUUAACAAAAUAAAAAAUGUUGCCGAUGUAUCGAAAAAGGAAAAAGAGAUAGAAAAAAAAAAAAUAAAGAAACAAAAGAAGAAGGAUCUACCCCGUGCUAUGCACAUAACAGCAGAAGACGUUCCGGAAGAAGAGAAAAAUGAUGAUAAAGAUGAUAUAGAAAUAGCCAAUGAUCUUGGAGCUAAUAUUAGAGAAAACAUAGAAAGACAUUCUGAUGAAACUAAUCCAUCCCUUUUGAGCAAUGAGUUACUAGAUAGUAAAAUACCUGUCAACAUAAAAGCAUUGUUAAUGCAUGACUUGGACGAAAGAAAAUGGAUAUCAAAAAAACCAAUAAGUGAUAAAGUUUGUUUAAGAGAUUAUUCACAACAAUGUCCUGUAUCUUGGGAAAAAAUAUCUGACACACAGUGUAUAUCCCCUAAAGAUUAUUCCGGAUCAUGCUCUCACAUUAUGACUUUUGAACCGCUAAGUGCGAAAGAAAAAAGUGCCUUAGGAGUAGAAUGCCAAGGUAUAAAAAUAUUAAAAAAAAAAAAAAAAAAAAACAUGUGACGAAAUGUAA